RNAcentral lists this ribosomal RNA (468 nucleotides) under uncultured bacterium. RNAcentral's name for it is "partial 16S ribosomal RNA". It matches the Rfam family "Bacterial small subunit ribosomal RNA", at positions 28 to 507 of the family's 1533-position model. The record is from RNAcentral.
GACGAACGCUGGCGGCGUGCUUAACACAUGCGAGUCGAACGGAAAGGCCCUGCUUUUGUGGGGUGCUCGAGUGGCGAACGGGUGAGUAACACGUGAGUAACCUGCCCUUGACUUUGGGAUAACUUCAGGAAACUGGGGCUAAUACCGGAUAGGAGCUCCUGCUGCAUGGUGGGGGUUGGAAAGUUUCGGCGGUUGGGGAUGGACUCGCGGCUUAUCAGCUUGUUGGUGGGGUAGUGGCUUACCAAGGCUUUGACGGGUAGCCGGCCUGAGAGGGUGACUGGCCACAUUGGGACUGAGAUACGGCCCAGACUCCUACGGGAGGCAGCAGUGGGGAAUAUUGCACAAUGGGCGGAAGCCUGAUGCAGCAACGCCGCGUGCGGGAUGACGGCCUUCGGGUUGUAAACCGCUUUCGCCUGUGACGAAGCGUGAGUGACGGUAAUGGGUAAAGAAGCACCGGCUAACUACGUG